CUUACAACUAACAGAAAUUUGUUUCUCAGAGUUCUGAAAGAUAGGAGGCUCAAGAUCAAGGAACUGGCAGGUCUCAUUCUAGGUUCCCCUUCUCUUGACUAACACUCCUCGCCUUCUGGCCUCUGGCAUGAGGGCUUCAAUGUGUUCAAGUGGCUACCACAGCUUUAAGUUUAAUGGAUAUCUUACUAUGCCUCCUGAUGGAAGAGUUGCUUGAUGACAACCAAGACCUUGAGCUCUACAAAGCCUAAAGUUACUGGGACUGGAUCCCCAGACACUUGAAAUGGAUCACUGAGAUCACUGAGAGUGAUGCUGAACAAAACACUUCCACUCUUACCACUUGGUUUCUAAAGCUAUGUAUUCUUCCUCUUGGGGAAAUAUCAUGAUACAAUGACUGCUUCAAAGAUGUUAGCUUCAAGUGUUGUAAUAUGAAAAGGUAUUAAAGAGGAAGACAUACUGCAGUGGGAUAAACAGCAAAAAUGAGAACAAUUUUAAUUUGCUGUAUGUGAAGAUGAUCUUAAACUCUUGUCUUCUUUUAACUUUGGUGGUGAAGAAUUCACUUUGAAUCUCUAAGAAUACAUCGGACCAUGUUAGCAAGAUUGCAGUAAACCAAGUCUAAUGGAAGAAGGGGUGUUACUUAAGGCAACAUGCAAGCUCCGGAAUCUAAGUAAUGAUGUCACUACAGAUCCAGAGUAGAAAGAGAAAGAACAAUGAGGACGGAAGAAAGGUUUUGAAACAUAAUGAUACCCCUUCAUUCACAACACACCUGGAGUUGAGUUUCAAGAGGGGAGUCAUUGGAAACAUUCAGGUGUGAAUCACUAUACCCAGCCCUAAUCAAGUAUUAUGAGUAGGAAGUAGCCAGGGGAUACUUUCAGAAAAAGCCAUUUCUGAGAGGAGGAGACAUGAGAGGAGACAUGGAGACCUGGUGCCAUCAGUCAGACUGGCCUCAGAACUGGAUGGAUUAAAAAUUGAGACUUUCUUCAGCUCAUGGACCAUGGAGUCUAUUGAUGGAAAGAAGGCAUUUGAAAAGAUAAGUCAAAUAAACGGUCUUUGAAGCAGAAGAAAUAUAAUAUGGUGAUCCCUGAUUACCCUCCCUCAAACCCUCCCAUGCCCUUCUUAGCGAGUCAUGUGACCACAGAAACAGAAGCUCAGAGGGACCUUAAAACUCAGGAGGCUGUGUCUAUUCCCCAAAUUUCUUUACUAAAUCUGCAGGGAAUUUUGUCAACUAUGUAUAUAUUAUUUCAGCAAAUAUUUGUAGGUUUCUAUGAUUUACUAAUACUUACCAAGGAAUAGAAUAAAUGAGGAAGAGCUAAAUGGCCUUUGCCUUUAAAUAUUUCACAGAUUGCUAUUCACAAAACUAAAUAAUUAUUAUUUCCUAGAGGAUCUGAUAAGCCCUGAAUAUUGAAACAUAGAAGGUAUCUAGAAAGAACUAGUGAAGGAAGUCACUAAACAAACACACACACAGACAGAAAUUGCAGUCACAGAUGGAGACGAACUGGUUGAAUAUUCAGCCUCAGAGUAAUGUCUCUGAGUUCACACAGUUCACCUCAAUCAAAUCAUGAAUGAAUGUAGAGAAUAAAAUAUGGCUGAUGGUACAUGUGAAAUACAAAUGGCAGAGCUGGCGAAACGGGAAGGCUGCAGAUAUUGGAGACUGGUCAGGGACUGAAGUUAUCACUUCUACCAUCAUUGGUGGGUUUUUUGUUUGCUUUUUGUUUUGCAUAAUUUUAAUAUUCAGAGCAGAUUUUCAAAAUGGUAGGGAUUAGAGAAAGAAGGGUGAUCUAUCUGGAUUUUAUAAAACUUGCUAAAAAAUUCCAUAAUGCAAAAUAAUUGAAGAUAAUGAAGGAAUUUUCUCACAUAGAAAAGAGCAGUAUUGCACUUAAUCAACAUCCCAUUUUUCAACCACAGGGGUUGUUUCUGCCUUUUCCUAUUUAUUUAUGUAAAAAGAAAUGCAAAGUCUGCAGAAGCAGGGUAAGAAAACCUUGUUAAACUUUUUCAAUAAUCCCUGUUAUAAUGUUCAAAGCAAUUACUUUUGCUGUCAGCAGGAAUAAAAUUUACUACCAUCAGAGAGUGCAAAAAGUCAAAUGUAUUACUAAGAAUUACAACAUAAGCUGCAUGCAAAUAACCCCACAAGUUCUUAGGGCUUGUCUUCCCGUGUUUGUACAGCUGAGGCUUCAGUCAUUCUUUUAUUACAGCUUAAAAAAAUUCCUAGAUGCUGGUGUAGAAUUUGCCCAUCAAUUUCAAUGAAAGCCAAAAAUGUACUAAGCUUGCUCUCUUGAGGAGUACUAUUAUCAGUGUGCUUUUACAAAAAUAAGUAUUUCUUUGUAAACAAACCAAAUAAUAUGAAGAUUAUGCAAUGAGAAAUAAUGAAAGCUAUAUAAACAGUUUUUUUCAAGUAUUUGAACUUUGCUCUCAUAGGCAGUCUUUAGCAUAAUGAUAAUUAUCUAUUGUACUCAAAGGACAUAAAAGCCUUUCAGUGAACUCUUAACAUUGUAUACAUUUCACUUCAGUAUGAAAGUAAUAAUCCUGAAACAUAGGCUUGACUUCCUGACAUUACCAUCUCCUUAAUUGUAACCACUUCAUUCCCCCAAACCCCAAAAUCUUACCGAAGUCAGAGCCCAGCCAGUCUUUAAUGUCAACAGUGGCAAAAAAAAUAAUACAUGCACAAGUAAGCCGCCCACCUUGGGUCCCCAACGUGUGGAAAUUAUAGACAGGAGCUAUGACAUCUGGCCAGCCUUUUCUUUUUUAAAGCUCCCUUUUUAAUUUUAUAAAUAUAUUUCAGAAAUAUUUUAUUCUUAACUAAAAUGAAAUUAUUAAA
Long non-coding RNA from Callithrix jacchus (white-tufted-ear marmoset), 2812 nucleotides. RefSeq lists it as uncharacterized. The record is from RefSeq and is a predicted model, not a curated record. Lineage: Eukaryota; Metazoa; Chordata; Mammalia; Primates; Cebidae.